GGUUCAGGUAGCUCAGCUGGUUAGAGCAAAGGACUGAAAAUCCUUGUGUCAGUGGUUCGAAUCCACUUCUAAGCGGGCUUUGGGUCCAAAGGGGACGACAGGUAGUUUAAGAAGAGCGAGCCGG
Non-coding RNA from Lupinus albus (white lupine), 124 nucleotides. The record is from the annotation of a GenBank genome assembly. Lineage: Eukaryota; Viridiplantae; Streptophyta; Magnoliopsida; Fabales; Fabaceae.